Molecule: ribosomal RNA, 468 nt
Filed under: uncultured bacterium
Lineage: Bacteria
Description: partial 16S ribosomal RNA
Rfam family: Bacterial small subunit ribosomal RNA
Source: RNAcentral
GACGAACGCUGGCGGCGUGCUUAACACAUACAAGUCGAACGGAAAGGCCCUGCUUUUGUGGGUUGCUCGAGUGGCGAACGGGUGAGUAACACGUGAGUAACCUGCCCUUGACUUUGGGAUAACUUCAGGAAACUGGGGCUAAUACCGGAUAGGAGCUCCUGCUGCAUGGUGGGGGUUGGAAAGUUUCGGCGGUUGGGGAUGGACUCGCGGCUUAUCAGCUUGUUGGUGGGGUAGUGGCUUACCAAGGCUUUGACGGGUAGCCGGCCUGAGAGGGUGACCGGCCACAUUGGGACUGAGAUACGGCCCAGACUCCUACGGGAGGCAGCAGUGGGGAAUAUUGCACAAUGGGCGGAAGCCUGAUGCAGCAACGCCGCGUGCGGGAUGACGGCCUUCGGGUUGUAAACCGCUUUCGCCUGUGACGAAGCGUGAGUGACGGUAAUGGGUAAAGAAGCACCGGCUAACUACGUG